Molecule: ribosomal RNA, 422 nt
Filed under: uncultured bacterium
Lineage: Bacteria
Description: partial 16S ribosomal RNA
Rfam family: Bacterial small subunit ribosomal RNA
Source: RNAcentral
AAUUUUCCGCAAUGGACUACAGGCUGACGGAGCAACGCCGCGUGAUUGACGAAUGCUUUCGGAUCUUGGAACUCUGUUGUUAUGGAGGAACAAGUAUCGGAGUCACUACCGGUACCUUGACGGUACCUGACGUGAAAGCCACGGCUAACUACGCUCCAGCAGCCGCGUUAAUACGUAGGCGGCAAGCGUUGUCCUGAUUUAUUGGGCGUAUAGAGGGCGCAGGGGGUCUUUUUAGUCUGAUGUAGAAUCUUACGGCUUAACUGUAAGCGGUCGUUGGAAACUGGGGGACUUGAGUGCAGAAGAGGGGAGUGGGAUUCCAUGUGUAGCGGUGAAAUGCAUAGAGAUAUGGGGGAACACAAGUGGGGAAGGCGACUCUCUGGUCUGUCACUGACGCUGAGGCGCGAAAGCGUGGGGAUCAAACA